GAAUAUUGCGCAAUGGAGGGAACUCUGACGCAGCGACGCCGCGUGAGCGAUGAAGNUUNNCGGAUNGNAAAGCUCUGUCCUUGNNNNNGAAGGUCUUCGGACUUGACGGUACCUAAGGAGGAAGCCCCGGCUAACUACGUGCCAGCAGCCGCGGUAAUACGUAGGGGGCAAGCGUUGUCCGGAAUUAUUGGGCGUAAAGGGUGCGUAGGCGGCCUUUUAAGUCAGGUGUGAAAGCCCACGGCUUAACCGUGGGAUUGCAUUUGAAACUGGAAGGCUUGAGUAUCGGAGAGGGUAGUGGAAUUCCCAGUGUAGCGGUGGAAUGCGUAGAUAUUGGGAGGAACACCAGUGGCGAAGGCGACUACCUGGACGAAAACUGACGCUGAGGCACGAAAGCUAGGGGAGCAAACA
Molecule: ribosomal RNA, 408 nt
Filed under: uncultured bacterium
Lineage: Bacteria
Description: partial 16S ribosomal RNA
Rfam family: Bacterial small subunit ribosomal RNA
Source: RNAcentral